CUACGGGUGGCUCCAGUGAGGAAUAUUGCGCAAUGGGCGAAAGCCUGACGCAGCAACGCCGCGUGGAUGAUGAAGGCCUUCGGGUUGUAAGAUCCUUUUUUGGGGAACGAUAAUGACGGUACCUCAAGAAUAAGUCCCGGCUAACUACGUGCCAGCAGCCGCGGUAAAACGUAGGGGGCGAGCGUUAUCCGGAUUUACUGGGCGUAAAGCGCACGUAGGCGGUGCCGUAAGUUGGAUGUGAAAGCUCCUGGCUUAACUGGGAGAGGUCGUUCAAAACUGCGGUGCUUGAGGAUAGAAGAGGAGAGUAGAAUUCCCGGUGUAGUGGUGGAAUGCGUAGAUAUCGGGAGGAAUACCAGUGGCGAAGGCGGCUCUCUGGUCUAUACCUGACGCUGAGGUGCGAAAGCGUGGGGAGCGAACGGGAUUAGAUACCCCAGUAGUC
This 439-nucleotide ribosomal RNA is filed under the name uncultured bacterium. Its description in RNAcentral is "partial 16S ribosomal RNA". It matches the Rfam family "Bacterial small subunit ribosomal RNA", at positions 339 to 795 of the family's 1533-position model. The record is from RNAcentral.